RNAcentral lists this ribosomal RNA (253 nucleotides) under uncultured bacterium. RNAcentral's name for it is "partial 16S ribosomal RNA". It matches the Rfam family "Bacterial small subunit ribosomal RNA", at positions 524 to 776 of the family's 1533-position model. The record is from RNAcentral.
GACAGAGGAUGCGAACGUUGCUCGGAAUUACUGGGCGUAAAGCGCGCGCAGGCGGCUUUGUAAGUCGGGUGUGAAAGCCCGGGGCUCAACCCCGGAAGUGCACACGAUACUGCAAGGCUUGGGUACUGAAGAGGAGGGCGGAAUUCCCGGUGUAGAGGUGAAAUUCGUAGAUAUCGGGAGGAACACCAGUGGCGAAAGCGGCCCUCUAGGCAGAUACCGACGCUGAGGCGCGAAAGCGUGGGGAGCAAACAGG